CUACGGGUGGCACCAGUGAGGAAUAUUGCACAAUGGGGGGAACCCUGAUGCAGCAACGCCGCGUGGAGGAUGACGCAUUUCGGUGUGUAAACUCCUUUUAUAUGUCAAGAAAAUGACGGUAGCAUAUGAAUAAGCACCGGCUAACUCCGUGCCAGCAGCCGCGGUAAUACGGAGGGUGCAAGCGUUACUCGGAAUCACUGGGCGUAGAGGACGCGUAGGCGGGUUGGAAAGUCAGGUGUGAAAUCCUACAGCUUAACUGUAGAACUGCACUUGAAACUUCUAAUCUAGAGUAUGGGAGGGGGAGAUGGAAUUAGUGGUGUAGUGGUAAAAUCCGUAGAUAUCACUAGGAAUACCUAAAGCGAAGGCGAUCUCCUGGAACAUUACUGACGCUAAGGCGUGAAAGCGUGGGGAGCAAACAGGAUUAGAUACCCGUGUAGUC
Molecule: ribosomal RNA, 439 nt
Filed under: uncultured bacterium
Lineage: Bacteria
Description: partial 16S ribosomal RNA
Rfam family: Bacterial small subunit ribosomal RNA
Source: RNAcentral